This 74-nucleotide transfer RNA is filed under the name Caudoviricetes sp. RNAcentral describes it as "tRNA-His". It matches the Rfam family "tRNA". Rfam says of the family: Transfer RNA (tRNA) molecules are approximately 80 nucleotides in length. Their secondary structure includes four short double-helical elements and three loops (D, anti-codon, and T loops). Lineage: Duplodnaviria; Heunggongvirae; Uroviricota; Caudoviricetes. The record is from RNAcentral.
GGAGUUGUAGUUUAACGGCUAGAACGUUAUACUGUGAAUAUAAAGGACUAAGUUCGAUUCUUAGCUUCUCCCCA